Molecule: ribosomal RNA, 3132 nt
Filed under: Actinorhabdospora filicis
Lineage: Bacteria; Bacillati; Actinomycetota; Actinomycetes; Micromonosporales; Micromonosporaceae
Description: 23S ribosomal RNA
Rfam family: Bacterial large subunit ribosomal RNA
Source: RNAcentral
UUAAGUUGUCAAGGGCGCAUGGUGGAUGCCUUGGCACCAGGAGCCGAUGAAGGACGUGGGAGGCCGCGAUAGGCCUGGGGGAGUUGUCAACCGAGCUGUGAUCCCAGGAUGUCCGAAUGGGGAAACCCGGCACGUGUCAUUGCGUGUCACCCACCGCUGAAUGUAUAGGCGGUGUGGAGGGAACGCGGGGAAGUGAAACAUCUCAGUACCCGUAGGAAGAGAAAACAACAGUGAUUCCGUGAGUAGUGGCGAGCGAAAGCGGAUGAGGCUAAACCGGUGGCGUGUGAUACCUGGUAGGGGUUGCGUCAUCGGGGUUGCGGGAGCACCUGUCCAGUUGCUACCACUUCUGGCUGCAGUUAUAAAGUCGUGUGUUAACCGAAUGGUCUGGGAAGGCCGACCGUAGACGGUGAGAGUCCGGUAGGUGAAAACGCAUGGCCUGCAGAUGGUGUGUCCCAAGUAGCGGCGGACCCCUGAAAUCUGCCGUGAAUCUGCCAGGACCACCUGGUAAGCCUAAAUACUUCCUGGUGACCGAUAGCGGACUAGUACCGUGAGGGAAAGGUGAAAAGUACCCCGGGAGGGGAGUGAAAUAGUACCUGAAACCAUGUGCUUACAAUCCGUCAGGGCCCGUGCAUUCUUUAGUGGAUGGCGGGUGAUGGCGUGCCUUUUGAAGAAUGAGCCUGCGAGUUAGUGGUGCGUGGCGAGGUUAACCUGUGGAGGGUAGCCGUAGCGAAAGCGAGUCUGAAUAGGGCGAACAUAGUCGCGUGCUCUAGACCCGAAGCGGAGUGAUCUACCCAUGGGCAGGUUGAAGCGCGGGUAAGACCGCGUGGAGGACCGAACCCACCAGCGUUGAAAAGCUGGGGGAUGACCUGUGGGUAGGGGUGAAAGGCCAAUCAAACUCCGUGAUAGCUGGUUCUCCCCGAAAUGCAUUUAGGUGCAGCGUCUCGUGUUUCUUGCCGGAGGUAGAGCACUGAUUGGCCUAGGGGGCCGACAAGCUUACCGAAGUCAGUCAAACUCCGAAUGCCGGUAAGUGAGAGCGAGGCAGUGAGACUGCGGGGGAUAAGCUCCGUAGUCGAGAGGGAAACAGCCCAGAUCACCGGCUAAGGCCCCUAAGCGUGUGCUAAGUGGAAAAGGAUGUGGGAUCGCGGAGACAACCAGGAGGUUGGCUUAGAAGCAGCCACCCUUGAAAGAGUGCGUAAUAGCUCACUGGUCAAGUGGUUCUGCGCCGAUAAUGUAGCGGGGCUCAAGUACACCGCCGAAGCCGUGGCACUCACACAUUAACCAGGCCUUCUCCUGCGGGGGUUGGUCCAGGUGUGUGGGUGGGUAGGGGAGCGUCGUGCGGGCAGUGAAGCAGCAGGGUGACCUAGCUGUGGAGGCCGCGCGAGUGAGAAUGCAGGCAUGAGUAGCGAAAGCAGGGUGAGAAACCCUGCCGCCGGAUGACCAAGGGUUCCAGGGCCAGGCUAAUCCGCCCUGGGUAAGUCGGGACCUAAGGCGAGGCCGAGAGGCGUAGUCGAUGGACAACGGGUUGAUAUUCCCGUACCCGCGUAGAAGCGACCAUGACGAACCUUCGUGUGCUAACCACUCCAAGCAUCCUGUUGUGGGCCUUCGGGUCUGCUGGGGUGUGGCCGGGUGGGAUCCCGUGUGGUAGUAGUCAAGCGAUGGGGUGACGCAGGAGGGUAGCUGAUCCCGGUGAAUGGUAGUGCCGGGCCAAGCAUGUAGCCCGAACCAUAGGUAAAUCCGUGGUUCACGUAGGGUGAGAUGUGACGGGUAGCCGAUUGAGGUGAAGUCAGUGAUCCCAUGCUGCCGAGAAAAGCCUCUAGCGAGUUUCGAGCGGCCCGUACCCCAAACCGACUCAGGUGGUCAGGUAGAGAAUACCAAGGCGAUCGGGUGAACUGUGGUUAAGGAACUCGGCAAAUUACCCCCGUAACUUCGGGAGAAGGGGGACCCCGGCUGGUGACGCGGCUAGCUCGUUGAGCUGGUUGGGGUCGCAGUGACCAGGGGGAAGCGACUGUUUACUAAAAACACAGGUCCAUGCGAAGAAGUAAUUCGAUGUAUAUGGACUGACGCCUGCCCGGUGCUGGAACGUUAAGGGGACCUGUUAGCUCUUCGGAGCGAGGCGGAGAACUUAAGCGCCAGUAAACGGCGGUGGUAACUAUAACCAUCCUAAGGUAGCGAAAUUCCUUGUCGGGUAAGUUCCGACCUGCACGAAUGGCGUAACGACUUCCCCACUGUCUCAACCACAGGCCCGGCGAAAUUGCAGUACGAGUAAAGAUGCUCGUUACGCGCGGCAGGACGGAAAGACCCCGGGACCUUUACUAUAGCUUGGUAUUGGUGCUUGGAGCAGUUUGUGUAGGAUAGGUGGGAGCCUGUGAAGCGGUCACGCCAGUGUCCGUGGAGGCGAUCUUGAAAUACCACUCUGAUUGUUCUGGGUAUCUAACCUCGGACCGUGAUCCGGUUCAGGGACAGUGCCUGGUGGGUAGUUUAACUGGGGCGGUUGCCUCCCAAAAUGUAACGGAGGCGCCCAAAGGUUCCCUCAGCCUGGUUGGCAAUCAGGUGUUGAGUGUAAGUGCACAAGGGAGCUUGACUGUGAGACCGACGGGUCGAGCAGGUGCGAAAGCAGGGACUAGUGAUCCGGCACUGGCAUGUGGAAGCGGUGUCGCUCAACGGAUAAAAGGUACCCCGGGGAUAACAGGCUGAUCUUCCCCAAGAGUCCAUAUCGACGGGAUGGUUUGGCACCUCGAUGUCGGCUCGUCGCAUCCUGGGGCUGGAGUAGGUCCCAAGGGUUGGGCUGUUCGCCCAUUAAAGCGGCACGCGAGCUGGGUUUAGAACGUCGUGAGACAGUUCGGUCCCUAUCCGCCGUGCGCGUAGGAUACUUGAGAAGGGCUGUCCCUAGUACGAGAGGACCGGGACGGACGAACCUCUGGUGUGCCAGUUGUCUUGCCAAAGGCACGGCUGGUUGGCUACGUUCGGAAGAGAUAACCGCUGAAAGCAUCUAAGCGGGAAACUCGCUUCAAGAUAAGGUAUCCCAUCCCGCAAGGGAGUAAGGCCCCCAGCUAGACUACUGGGUUGAUAGGCCGGAAAUGUACGCACAGUAAUGUGUUCAGUUGACCGGUACUAAUAGGCCGAGGACUUAAC